GACGAACGCUGGCGGCGUGCUUAACACAUGCAAGUCGAACGGAAAGGCCCUGCUUUUGUGGGGUGCUCGAGUGGCGAACGGGUGAGUAACACGUGAGUAACCUGCCCUUGACUUUGGGAUAACUUCAGGAAACUGGGGCUAAUACCGGAUAGGAGCUCCUGCUGCAUGGUGGGGGUUGGAAAGUUUCGGCGGUUGGGGAUGGACUCGCGGCUUAUCAGCUUGUUGGUGGGGUAGUGGCUUACCAAGGCUUUGGCGGGUAGCCGGACUGAGAGGGUGACCGGCCACAUUGGGACUGAGACACGGCCAAGACUCCUACGGGAGGGAGCAGUGGGGAAUAUUGCACAAUGGGCGGAAGCGUGACGCAGCAACGCCGCGUGCGGGAUGAUGGCCUUCGGGUUGUAAACCGCUUUCGCCUGUGAUGAAGCGUGAGUGACGGUAAUGGGUAAAGAAGCACCGGCUAACUACGUG
RNAcentral lists this ribosomal RNA (468 nucleotides) under uncultured bacterium. RNAcentral describes it as "partial 16S ribosomal RNA". It matches the Rfam family "Bacterial small subunit ribosomal RNA", at positions 28 to 507 of the family's 1533-position model. The record is from RNAcentral.